RNAcentral lists this ribosomal RNA (502 nucleotides) under Klebsiella pneumoniae. Its description in RNAcentral is "partial 23S ribosomal RNA". It matches the Rfam family "Bacterial large subunit ribosomal RNA", at positions 419 to 925 of the family's 2925-position model. The record is from RNAcentral. Lineage: Bacteria; Pseudomonadati; Pseudomonadota; Gammaproteobacteria; Enterobacterales; Enterobacteriaceae.
GGGACACGUGGUAUCCUGUCUGAAUAUGGGGGGACCAUCCUCCAAGGCUAAAUACUCCUGACUGACCGAUAGUGAACCAGUACCGUGAGGGAAAGGCGAAAAGAACCCCGGCGAGGGGAGUGAAAAAGAACCUGAAACCGUGUACGUACAAGCAGUGGGAGCACCUUCGGGUGUGACUGCGUACCUUUUGUAUAAUGGGUCAGCGACUUAUAUUCUGUAGCAAGGUUAACCGUAUAGGGGAGCCGCAGGGAAACCGAGUCUUAACUGGGCGUUAAGUUGCAGGGUAUAGACCCGAAACCCGGUGAUCUAGCCAUGGGCAGGUUGAAGGUUGGGUAACACUAACUGGAGGACCGAACCGACUAAUGUUGAAAAAUUAGCGGAUGACUUGUGGCUGGGGGUGAAAGGCCAAUCAAACCGGGAGAUAGCUGGUUCUCCCCGAAAGCUAUUUAGGUAGCGCCUCGUGAAUUCAUCUUCGGGGGUAGAGCACUGUUUCGGCUAGGGG